RNAcentral lists this long non-coding RNA (429 nucleotides) under Ananas comosus (pineapple). Its description in RNAcentral is "long non-coding RNA (ACOM_LNC013996)". Lineage: Eukaryota; Viridiplantae; Streptophyta; Magnoliopsida; Poales; Bromeliaceae. The record is from RNAcentral.
AUGUUCAGUGUUAGCCACAAGGAAAUCACAAGUUCUUCACAACUUAGUCUCAUUCGAGUACAGCCGAACAUCGUAAUUAGCUAAGGAAUUAAUAGUUGGUACAUUAGUUUUCAAUUUGAAGUCUAGCUGCUUUACAUUCUAGUUAAACUCAUUUCUAAAAAAUAAGCAGAACGGAUAGCCAACCUUUCAAAAUUUUAAUUUUGCUACUAAAUUCUUCUAUUUGUUUGAUUUGAUUUAAUCAACGAUCCUUUAAUUUUAAAAUCUGAAUAUAUCACUGAACUUUGCACAUUUCAUACAAUUCGCAAUUAUAAAUUUAUUAAAAUAAAUUAUUAGCUUAAAAUUUGAAGUUAAAAUAUUAUUGACUGAUUUAAAUCAAAUAGAAAUAAAUUUAAGAGCCCAAUUGGUUCGGGAUUUAAAAUAUUCCAACAA